RNAcentral lists this ribosomal RNA (429 nucleotides) under Acidobacteriota bacterium. RNAcentral's name for it is "Acidobacteria bacterium partial 16S ribosomal RNA". It matches the Rfam family "Bacterial small subunit ribosomal RNA", at positions 355 to 776 of the family's 1533-position model. Lineage: Bacteria; Pseudomonadati; Acidobacteriota. The record is from RNAcentral.
UGGGGAAUUUUGGACAAUGGGGGAAACCCUGAUCCAGCCAUCCCGCGUGUGCGAUGAAGGCCUUCGGGUUGUAAAGCACUUUUGGCAGGAAAGAAACGUCAUGGGUUAAUACCCCGUGAAACUGACGGUACCUGCAGAAUAAGCACCGGCUAACUACGUGCCAGCAGCCGCGGCAAUACGUAGGGUGCAAGCGUUAAUCGGAAUUACUGGUCGUAAAGCGUGCGCAGGCGGUUCGGAAAGAAAGAUGUGAAAUCCCAGAGCUCAACUUUGGAACGGCAUUUUUAACUACCUGGCUAGAGUGUGUCAGAGGGAGGUGGAAUUCCGCGUGUAGCAGUGAAAUGCGUAGAUAUGCGGAGGAACACCGAUGGCGAAGGCAGCCUCCUGGGAUAACACUGACGCUCAUGCACGAAAGCGUGGGGAGCAAACAGG